RNAcentral lists this ribosomal RNA (460 nucleotides) under uncultured bacterium. RNAcentral describes it as "partial 16S ribosomal RNA". It matches the Rfam family "Bacterial small subunit ribosomal RNA", at positions 338 to 795 of the family's 1533-position model. The record is from RNAcentral.
CCUACGGGAGGCUGCAGUGAGGAAUAUUGGUCAAUGGGCGCGAGCCUGAACCAGCCAAGUCGCGUGAGGGAAGACGGUCCUAUGGAUUGUAAACCUCUUUUGUCGGGGAGCAAAAGACGCCACGCGUGGCGUUCCGAGAGUACCCGAAGAAAAAGCAUCGGCUAACUCCGUGCCAGCAGCCGCGGUAAUACGUAGGGGGCAAGCGUUAUCCGGAUUUACUGGGUGUAAAGGGUGCGUAGGUGGCAGGGCAAGUCAGAUGUGAAAGCCCGGGGCUCAACCCCGGUACUGCAUUUGAAACUGUCCAGCUGGAGUGCAGGAGAGGUAAGCGGAAUUCCUAGUGUAGCGGUGAAAGGCGUAGAUAUUAGGAGGAACACCAGUGGCGAAGGCGGCUUACUGGACUGUAACUGACACUGAGGCACGAAAGCGUGGGGAGCAAACAGGAUUAGAUACCCGAGUAGUC